RNAcentral lists this ribosomal RNA (450 nucleotides) under uncultured bacterium. Its description in RNAcentral is "bacterial SSU rRNA". It matches the Rfam family "Bacterial small subunit ribosomal RNA", at positions 354 to 796 of the family's 1533-position model. The record is from RNAcentral.
GUGGGGAAUAUUGGACAAUGGGCGAAAGCCUGAUCCAGCCAUGCCGCGUGUGUGAAGAAGGUCUUCGGAUUGUAAAGCACUUUAAGUUGGGAGGAAGGGCAGUAAGUUAAUACCUUGCUGUUUUGACGUUACCGACAGAAUAAGCACCGGCUAACUUCGUGCCAGCAGCCGCGGUAAUACGACGGGUGCAAGCGUUAAUCGGAAUUACUGGGCGUAAAGCGCGCGUAGGUGGUUUUGUAAGUUGGAGGUGAAAUCCCCGGGCUCAACCUGGGAACUGCCUCCAAAACUGCAUGACUGGAGUACGGUAGAGGGUAGUGGAAUUUCCUGUGUAGCGGUGAAAUGCGUAGAUAUAGGAAGGAACACCAGUGGCGAAGGCGACUACCUGGACUGAUACUGACACUGAGGUGCGAAAGCGUGGGGAGCAAACAGGAUUAGAAACCCUGGUAGUCC